Molecule: RNA transcript, 5175 nt
Organism: Solanum lycopersicum (tomato)
Lineage: Eukaryota; Viridiplantae; Streptophyta; Magnoliopsida; Solanales; Solanaceae
Gene name: mediator of RNA polymerase II transcription subunit 23
Source: RefSeq, a predicted model, not a curated record
CCUUGGUCUUUUAUAUUUGCAGUUAAUUUUGGACUGUCUAGUCUAAGUCUAAAUCGGAAGGGGAAAAGAAGAAAAGUAUGCUGCGAGUUCCCGUUUCCACUCCAAGCAGCGGAGAAAUGGAGCAUAACAACACACACCAGUUGAGGUCUCGGUCCCACCAACAGUUUCAUCCCUCUCGACCUGCCAUCCUUGAUCUCUUCAAUUUAUACUUAGGACUGAAAAAUUCUGGACAAAAAUCAGAUGAUUCUAUCAGAGAACCACCGAACAAGACACAGAAGAGAGUAACUGCUCUUAACAGAGAGCUUCCUCCACGAAAUGAGCAAUUUAUCUUAGAUUUUGGACAGCUGCAGAGCCAGUUUACUGACAAGGAACAGCUAAGUGCAGUGGCAGAAUCUGUUCUUAUUUCCCUCGUUAUUCAUUGCAGUAGUCACGCACCUCGUGCAGAAUUUAUUCAAUUUGCCAUAUGUAGUUUGUCUAGUAUAGGAUUCAUAAACUGGGAUUCUUUCUUGCCUUCUCUUCUUUCCUCCGUUUCAUCAACUGAGAUAUCCGCUAGCCAGGCUAAUCUACCAUCUGCUGCUGUCUCUUCUGCUAAUUUAACAUCUGGAUUGCUCCCUUCUUCCACCACAGUAGCGUCUACCUCCAUUUUUCACUCAUCAAAUCCUGCAUCUCCUUUGCCCGCUGUCCAUGGUAUUGGGUCCCCUCUUCAUUCAGUAGCUGAACCCUCAUCUUCUGCUGCUUUGUCUCCCAUGAAGUCUUCUGAUGUUAAUGGUACUAGCCAACAGUCUGUUGCAAAAGUGAAUUUGUUGUUAAAUGAUAAUGCUACAAGCAGUCUGCGUCAGUUAUGUUGCAAAAUUAUUUUAACUGGUCUAGAUUCUAAUCUUAAGCCAGUAACACAUGCCGAAGUUCUCCACCAUAUGUUGAAUUGGUUGAUUAAUUGGGACCAAAAGUUACAUGGUAUUGAUGAAUUAGACAGUACGAAAUAUUGGAAACCAGAUAAGGCCCUAAUUAAGUGGCUACACAGUUGUUUAGAUGUUAUUUGGUUGCUGGUUGAGAAUGAUAAAUGCCGUAUACCGUUUUAUGAACUUCUCCGGAGUGGGUUGCAGUUUUUAGAAAAUAUACCAGAUGAUGAAGCUCUGUUCACUCUUAUUUUGGAGAUCCAUCGGAGGCGAGAUAUGAUGGCUAUGCAUAUGCAAAUGUUGGAUCAGCACCUUCACUGCCCUACAUUUGGGACCCCUCGACUUCUUCCUCAAGCCUCUGCAAAUUCGUCUGGUGAAGCAGUUGCUAACAUGAGAUAUUCACCAAUUACAUAUUCUAGUGUGCUUGGGGAACCAUUGCAUGGAGAGGAUCUUGCAGCUUCCAUUCAAAAAGGAAGCCUGGAUUGGGAGCGAGCUUUGCGUUGUUUAAAGCAUGCACUUCGGAACGCUCCAUCACCAGACUGGUGGAGACGUGUGCUUCUUGUGGCUCCCUGUCACAGGGUUCAUGCCCAGGCUCCAACUCCGGGUGCUGUGUUUACAUCGGAAAUGGUUUGCGAGGCAGUUAUUGAAAGAAUUGUUGAAUUAUUGAAGUUGACGAAUUCAGAAAUCAAUUGCUGGCAGGAGUGGCUUAUAUUCUCUGAUAUAUUCUUUUUUCUCAUGAAAAGUGGAUGCGUUGAUUUUGUGGAGUUCGUGGACAAAUUAGUAUUUCGACUUCAAGAGGGUGAUCAACAAAUACUUAGGACGAACCAUGUUACGUGGUUACUUGCACAAAUUAUUCGGGUUGAACUAGUGAUGAAUGCUCUAAAUACAGACUCAAGAAAGGUGGAGACGACCAGAAAAAUUCUUUCGUUCCAUAAAGAGGAGAAAAGCUCUGAUCCCAAUAAUCCUCAAAGUAUCCUACUUGAUUUCAUUAGCAGUUGUCAGAACUUGCGCAUUUGGACACUAAAUACAGCAACAAGAGAAUACCUGAAUAACGAGCAGCUACAAAAAGGAAAGCAAAUUGAUGAAUGGUGGAGACAAGUUAACAAAGGGGAACGCAUGAUGGAUUAUAUGAAUUUGGAUGAUAGAUCAAUUGGGAUGUUUUGGGUUGUGUCCUACACAAUGGCUCAGCCUGCUUGUGAAACUGUGAUGAACUGGUUAACCUCCGCGGGGGUUACUGAGCAUUUACCUGGACCAAAUUUGCAGUCCAAUGAGAGAUUAAUGGUGAUGCGUGAAGUUUGCCCCCUGCCGAUAUCAUUGUUAUCAGGAUUGUCCAUAAAUUUAUGCUUGAAAGUGGCUUUUCAAUUGGAAGAAUCAAUGUUUUCUGGACAGGCUGUGCCCAGCAUCGCUAUGGUUGAAACAUACUGUAGGUUGAUGCUCAUUUCCCCUCAUUCAUUGUUUCGUUCGCUCUUAACCCAUCUGACAUCGAGGAAUCCCACCACAUUGACCAAGCCAGGAAACACAAUCUUGGUGUUUGAGAUUCUUAAUUAUCGUUUCCUUUCACUCUACAGGUACCAAGGUAAGAGCAAGACAUUGAUGUAUGAUGUCACCAAAAUGAUUUCUACACUGAAGGGAAAACGCGGAGAUCAUCGCAUUUUCAGAUUGGCUGAGAACUUAUGUAUGAAUCUGAUUUUGUCGUUGAGAGACUUUUUCUUUGUGAAGAGGGAAGGGAAGGGUCCAACUGAGUUUACUGAGACUUUAAAUAGGAUAACAAUUGUUACUCUUGCAAUCAUAAUUAAAACUCGUGGAAUUGGAGAGUUCGAACAGUUACUGUAUCUUCAAACAAUGCUGGAACAAAUCUUAGCAACUAGCCAGCAUACCUGGUCUGAGAAAACUUUGCGCUAUUUUCCUUCAAUUUUACGUGAUGCCUUGAGUGGGCGAAUGGAUAAAAGGGGCUUGGCAAUCCAAGCAUGGCAGCAGGCAGAAACAACUGUUAUCAAUCAAUGCACACAGCUUCUUUCUCCCUCAGCUGAUCCCUCAUAUGUUGUGACUUAUAUUAACCAUAGUUUUCCUCAGCACCGCCAGUAUCUCUGUGCUGGUGCAUGGAUACUAAUGCAUGGGCAUCCAGAAAAUAUUAACUGCACAAACCUUGGACGUGUUUUGAGAGAGUUUUCUCCUGAAGAGGUGACUGCAAAUAUUUAUACAAUGGUAGAUGUCCUGCUUCAUCAUAUUCACUUGGAACUACAGCGUGGACAUCCCUUGCAGGAUCUUAUGCUAAAAGCCUGUGGAAACCUUUCAGUUUUCAUCUGGAACCAUGAGCUUUUGCCUCCAGAUAUCCUACUGCUGGCACUUAUUGACCGUGAUGAUGAUCCACAUGCUUUGCGCAUUGUAAUUAACUUACUUGACAGUAAGGAGCUCCAACAAAGAGUGAAAGUUUAUCUCUUAAAUCGUGGCCCGCCUGAGCAUUGGCUUUCCCCUGGACCUUUCAAGCGUGUGGAAUUGCAGAAAGCUCUUGGAAAUUAUCUGUCAUGGAAGGAGAGGUAUCCAACAUUUUUUGAUGAUAUUGCUGCACGCCUGCUUCCAGUCAUCCCCCUUAUCAUAUAUAGACUCAUUGAAAAUGACGCUAUGGAUGCGGCUGAUAGAAUUCUUCAAGUUUAUUCACCCUUCCUUCAUUACUAUCCUCUGAACUUUACGUUUGUUCGUGAUAUACUUUCUUAUUUCUAUGGUCAUCUUCCUGGAAAGCUAAUACUCCGUAUACUGAAUAUCUUAGAUAUUAAAAAGAUACCAUUUUCAGAGUCAUUCCCGCAACAUAUCAACUCAUCAAAUGCAGCCAUGUGCCCACCAUUGGACUACUUCGCUACUCUUUUGUUAGGACUGGUGAAUCAUGUUAUUCCCGCUUUAAAUAAUAGCUCCAAAUGUGCAGUGAUGGGAGAUUUUGCAAAUAAUUCUACCCGUGCUCCCCAUGGAAAGAUCCCAGCAACAUCACAAUCUGGGACAACUAAUUCUUUUGACGGGCAGAAACCUUAUUAUCAGAUGCAAGACCCUGGGAUAUCCACCCAGCUUACUCUUGAAACAGCUGUCAUAGAAUUACUUUCUCUUCCUGUUUCACCAUCACAGAUUGUCUCAUCUCUAGUUCAAAUUGUUGUUCACAUACAACCAACCCUUGUUCAAUCCAGCAAUGGGCUUCAUGGAGCUCCUGGUAGUUCAGGACAAGGCUCUAUUUUGCCUACUUCUCCUUCAGGAGGAAGCACUGAUUCUUUGGGUGCAACUAGGACGACUCCAUCACUUUCAGGAUUGAAUACUUCUAAUUUUGUUUCACGCAGUGGUUAUACUUGCCAGCAGCUGUCUUGCUUGUUAAUCCAAGCAUGUGGUCUUCUUUUGGCACAACUUCCUCCAGAAUUUCAUGUGCAGCUAUAUGUUGAAGCUGCACGCAUAAUAAAAGAAAGUUGGUGGCUUACUGAUGCUAAAAGGUCUGUGGGUGAAUUAGAAUCGGCUGUUAGUUAUGCUCUACUAGAUCCCACCUGGGCUGCACAGGAUAAUACCUCAACAGCCAUUGGUAAUAUUGUCGCACUGCUACAUGCUUUCUUCUGUAACCUCCCACAAGAAUGGCUCGAGGGAACUCAUCUUAUCAUUAAGCACCUUAGGCCUGUGACAUCUGUUGCAGUAUUAAGAAUAUCAUUUCGCAUUAUGGGUCCCUUGCUUCCGAGACAGUGUCGCUGCUUUUGAAUAUUUUGGUGGAUGUGUUUGGGAAGAACUCACAGCUGUCAGCACCUAUUGAAGCAACGGAAAUAAGUGAUCUUAUCGACUUCCUGCAUCAUGUUAUUCAUUACGAGGUCGCAUCUAGUAAACCCAGAUCAGAAAUUUUGGCUCUUUUUGGAAGAGCAGCAGAAAAUUUGCGUCCAGAUGUUCAACAUCUUCUUUCCCACCUCAACACUGAUGUAAACACUUCGGUUUAUGCAAAAAUCAUCCACAAUGCUUAAGAAUCUGCUCCUACUGUUAGGUGGUUCCUUGCUUUAAUCUAGUUUGACAUGCCUCACUUUGUUAAUUUACUUCAUCUUAAUUAAUAAACUAAAUUAACAAAACAUGAAGAGAGGAGACAAGUGUAGUCUCUAUAUUCUUUAUUCAUAAUUCUCUUUUUUGAUAACUACAAAGGCUAUUAUUAUGUUGUUCCUUGGCCGCAGAAAUAUGAGUCGAUCCGAUUUCACAUGGAUCAUCUACAUUCUGUUACAACAAUCCUCCUUAGAUGUCCAUGUAGAGAAAAUGUACAGAGUUAUUCGAAUAA